GACGAACGCUGGCGGCGUGCUUAACACAUGCAAGUCGAACGAUAAGGCCCAGCUUUUGUGGUGUGUUCGUGUCGCAAGCGUGUGUGUUACACGAGAGUCAUCUGCCUUUGACUGUGGUAUGCCUGCAGGACACGGUGUCUAAUACCGUAUAGCAGCUCCCCGUGCGUGGUGUUGGUUGGAAAGUUUCGGUGGUUGUGGAUGGACUCGCGGCUUAUUAGCUUGUUGUUGGGGUAGUGGCUGACCAAGGCUAUGACGGGUAGCCGGCCUGAGAGGGUGACCGGCCACACUGGGACUGAGAUACGGCCCAGACUCCUACGGGAGGCAGCAGUGGGGAAUAUUGCACAAUGGGCGGAAGCCUGAUGCAGCGACGCCGCGUGCGGGAUGACGGCCUUCGGGUUGUAAACCGCUGUCAGCUGGGAAGAAGAGAGAUUGACGGUAACUGGUGAGAAAGCACCGGCUAACUACGUG
RNAcentral lists this ribosomal RNA (468 nucleotides) under uncultured bacterium. RNAcentral describes it as "partial 16S ribosomal RNA". It matches the Rfam family "Bacterial small subunit ribosomal RNA", at positions 28 to 507 of the family's 1533-position model. The record is from RNAcentral.